RNAcentral lists this long non-coding RNA (3061 nucleotides) under Olea europaea subsp. europaea. The record is from RNAcentral. Lineage: Eukaryota; Viridiplantae; Streptophyta; Magnoliopsida; Lamiales; Oleaceae.
UGGAAAUUGGCUGAAAAAAAAUGAAAAAUGAAAGGAAACAAUUACAAAAUGGCGCCCAAAACACAAACCAAAUACUUUGAAUUUUUUUUACCCACCCGGUUCGACCCGGCCCAUUUUCAAACCCGACCCAAGUCCCUGUUUUAAAACCCUUCAGCCAAUUCCCACAUAAAACACUUUCACGCCGGAAGCUGCCGCGCGAUUUCAGAGCUCAGCCGACUGCAAUGGCGCCAUCUUGCUACAAGAUCCAACUGCGUCUCUUCUCUUCUGUACAUGACGCAUGAGAAAUACCUAUUUUUGACCCAAGUACAGUGGCUGGAAGCUAUUACAGUGGCCGGUGGAGAAACCUAAUUUUGCUCGAUUGUUCAGGUAUUUGAUUAAUAUUUGAUGGUAAUAAAUAAGACCGUGACCCAUAUUUGCGGUUGCAGAUUAAUUUCCUUCUCAGUUCACUAUCAGAAUUUUUGAAAUCCGAAUUUCUUACUUUUUAAUUGUGUCGUGUGCAUGUGCUGAAUUGGGUGAAGAAGGCUGGCAUUCGGAAAAUACUCCAGAGGUGGACGAACAGGACCCAACAAUUUCCAGCCGAGAGAUGACCGAAAAAGGUAUUGGUUCAAAUUGCCAUUCAGAAUUAGGGGAUUUGUUAUGUGAUUUUCUCUGUAUCUUUACAAUUUGUUAUGAGAUGAUGUGAUUUUUUUAGAACCAAUUUCUGUAGGAUGUGCUAAAAAAUUGCUUGACUUGGUAGAAUGCACAAUCAUCAUAUUACACACGCAGUGAAUUUCCAUUGUAAUUGAUCAAACGAUUAUUUGCAUUGUAGUCCAACGUGGUGAUCUGAGUAGUUUCUAUUUGAAUUAUAGUUACAUAAUUUCGUUGACGCAUUAUUGUAAUUUGUUUGAUGAAGGGAAAGAAAUUUGGGAACAUGUGGAUGAAAUUAUACCAGUGGAGUCCGAAAAUGAGGAUGUUCUGGAUAUUAUGAACGUAGCGGGUGAUGAUACGUUAGUUGGAGAUGGUGUGAUUGUGCCGGAGCCGGGUAUGAAAUUUAAAGAUGAAAAUGAAAUAUUCGAUUUGUACAAAAAAUAUGCAUACGAAAUUGGUUUCCCGGUUAGGAAAAGAAAUUCGGUAAAGGAUGAGGACGGAGUAUUGCGAAAUAUUAUAUUUGUUUGUAGCCGUGAAGGGAAAAGAAUACAAAAUAGAAGCGGUAGUUUGAAACCGUAAGCAACCAUGCAGAGUGGAUGUAAAGCCAGGAUUUGCGCAUCCAAAGAUCUUUGUGGAAUAUGGAGGAUUAACAAGGUACAUCUAGACCAUAAUCAUAAGACAAGCCCUUCGAAGUCUAGGCUAUAUCGAUGCAACUGAGAGUUGAGUGCACAUGUUAAACGAAGACUCGAAGUGAAUGACAUGGCAGGAAUUCCAUUACACAAGAGUUUCAACUCUGCAGUUGUUGAAGCGGGUGGGUAUGAGAAUUUGAGUUGCAUCGAGAAGGACUGUCGUAACUAUGUUGAAAAAGUUAGGCGUUUAAGACUUGAAAAAGGGGACGCAUCAGCACUACAGUCAUACUUCUGCAAAAUGCAGGCAUAGUGUUCGGGCUUUUACUUUAGUAUAGAUCUGGAUGACGAUUUACGUCUAAAGAAUGUUUUUUGGGCAGACUAUAGAAGUAGGCAAGCAUUUAAGGAGUUUGGUGAUGUUAUCACAUUUGACACCACAUACCUCACUAAUAAGUACGAUAUGCCAUUUGCUCCUUUUGUUGGAGUGAACCACCAUGGGCAGUCGACACUCCUUGGAUGUGGUCUGGUAUCGAAUGAGGAUACGGAGACAUUUGUUUGGCUCUUUCGAACCUGGCUGCAAUGCAUGCAUGGACAAGCUCCGCAUGGGAUAGUUACGGAUCAGGAUAGGGCUAUGCAAAAUGCAAUACAGAUUGUGUUUCCUAAUACAAAGCAUAGAUGGUGUUUGUGGCACAUAUUGAAGAAGUUGCCUGAGAAAUUCGGAUACCAUGUGGAUAAAGGGUCUAUAUUCAGUACUAUACACAAUUUGGUUUAUGAUUGUCAGUUUGUAGAAGAAUUCGAAAAUGGCUGGAGAGUGAUGGUGGAAAGGUUUCACUUGUAUGAUAAUGAGUGGUUGGCGGGUUUGUACGAGAACAGAGAACGUUGGGUACCUUGCUAUCUAAAAACCACAUUUUGGGCAGGGAUGUCAACUACUCAACGCAGUGAGAGUAUGCAUGCAUUCUUCGACGGUUAUAUACAUUCGAAGACGACAUUAAAGCAAUUUGUUGAACAAUAUGAACAAGCAUUGAGAAAUAAGGUUGAGAAAGAGUUUCAAGCAGACUUCAAGUCCUUCUCGCAAAUGGUACCGUGCGCAUCGAGAUAUGAAAUUGAGAAGCAAUUUCAAGCAGUUUACACAAUUUCAAAAUUUAAGGAAGUUCAAGAGGAGUUCACAGGUAAAAUGUACUGCGACCUUGUUUCUGUCUCCGAGGGAUUAUCGGGGGCAACGUACGAGGUACGGGAGGAUGUAAUACAUGAGGAGCAUUCGAAGAAAAAAAGCUUUUUCGUCUCAGUUGAAAGAGACAAAUGUGAAAUCACUUGUAGUUGCCACAAUUUUGAGUUUCGCGGGAUUAUUUGCAGACAUAUGAUCGUAGUACUGGCCCGUAAUGACGUGAAAUCUAUACCCGAAAAAUAUAUACUACGGAGAUGGCGACGAGAUGUCAGUAGGGCCCACACAAGGGUACCAGUGAACUAUGAUGGUUUGAUUAGUACGCCAGGGCAAUUAAAGUACAACAAGAUGUGUCAACGCUUUGCGACAUUGGCAGAUCUGACAGCAGAAGAUGACGCGAAAUCUGAUGCAAUAAUUGAUUGGAUUGACAGUCAAUGUGAAGAGUUGAUGUCAACAAAUCCUGGUAAUAGUAACAUCCUCUCCCCACAGACGACACAGACAUCAUUCCACUGUGAAGCACCACUGGAUACUGGAAGUGGUGACAUAAGGGAUCCAGAAUGUGUGAAAAGAAAAGGUGCCCCAAAGAAACUUCGGAAGAAGAGCCCAUUAGAAACCAUGUCGAGAAAAUUCAAGGUAAUAAUGAAAU